Molecule: transfer RNA, 66 nt
Filed under: human gut metagenome
Also listed under: 1 other name
Rfam family: tRNA
About the family: Transfer RNA (tRNA) molecules are approximately 80 nucleotides in length. Their secondary structure includes four short double-helical elements and three loops (D, anti-codon, and T loops). Further hydrogen bonds mediate the characteristic L-shaped molecular structure. tRNAs have two regions of fundamental functional importance: the anti-codon, which is responsible for specific mRNA codon recognition, and the 3' end, to which the tRNAs corresponding amino acid is attached (by aminoacyl-tRNA synthetases). tRNAs cope with the degeneracy of the genetic code in two manners: having more than one tRNA (with a specific anti-codon) for a particular amino acid; and 'wobble' base-pairing, i.e. permitting non-standard base-pairing at the 3rd anti-codon position.
Source: RNAcentral
GGUGUAGCGCAGUUGGUAGCGCGCUUGGUUCGGGACCAAGAGGUCGUGGGUUCAAAUCCCGUCACU